UUCUGGUUGAUCCCGCCGGACCUUACUGCUAUCGGGGUGGGACUAAGACAUGCGAGUUGAGCGUCUCUAGCUAUGUUGAGACGCGGCAUACGGCUCAGUAACACGUGGCUAACCUACCCUCAGGACGGGGACAAACCCGGGAAACUGGGGCUAAUAUCCGAUAGGCGAGGAAUCCUGGAAUGGGUCCUCACCCAAAGGACAUUGGAAACAUGCUUUCUCUGUCGCCUGGGGAUGGGGCCGCGACCGAUCAGGUUGUUGGUGAGGUAAUGGCUCACCAAGCCUUUAACCGGUACGGGCCGUGAGAGCGGUAGCCCGGAGAUGGGUACUGAGACAAGGACCCAGGCCCUACGGGGCGCAGCAGUCGCGAAAACUCCGCAAUGCACGAAAGUGUGACGGGGCUACCCCGAGUGCCGUCCGCUGAGAAUGGCUUUUCCUUGGUGUAACUAGCCGGGGGAAUAAGGAGAGGGNCAGACUGGUGUCAGCCGCCGCGGUAA
Molecule: ribosomal RNA, 494 nt
Filed under: uncultured archaeon
Lineage: Archaea
Description: bacterial SSU rRNA
Rfam family: Archaeal small subunit ribosomal RNA
Source: RNAcentral